This 201-nucleotide non-coding RNA is filed under the name Paracoccaceae bacterium. The record is from RNAcentral. Lineage: Bacteria; Pseudomonadati; Pseudomonadota; Alphaproteobacteria; Rhodobacterales; Paracoccaceae.
GCGUUUUCUGGGCGCGAUGGUGUCCGGGCUUUGGUCCGGCUGAAAAGGGAAUGUGGUGCGGGGGAAACCCCUAUGCCACGGCUGCCCCCGCAACUGUAAGCGGCGAGCGGUUCGGAUGAUCCACUGGUGCAACCGCGCCGGGAAGGGCCGAAACCGCAGUGACCCGCGAGCCAGGAGACCUGCCAUCCGAACUGCAAUUUC